RNAcentral lists this ribosomal RNA (468 nucleotides) under uncultured bacterium. Its description in RNAcentral is "partial 16S ribosomal RNA". It matches the Rfam family "Bacterial small subunit ribosomal RNA", at positions 28 to 507 of the family's 1533-position model. The record is from RNAcentral.
GACGAACGCUGGCGGCGUGCUUAACACAUGCAAGUCGAACGGAAAGGCCCUGCUUUUGUGGGGUGCUCGAGUGGCGAACGGGUGAGUAACACGUGAGUAACCUGCCCUUGACUUUGGGAUAACUUCAGGAAACUGGGGCUAAUACCGGAUAGGAGCUCCUGCUGCAUGGUGGGGGUUGGAAAGUUUCGGCGGUUGGGGAUGGACUCGCGGCUUAUCAGCUUGUUGGUGGGGUAGUGGCUUACCAAGGCUUUGACGGGUAGCCGGCCUGAGAGGGUGACCGGGCACAUUGGGACUGAGAUACGGCCCAGACUCCAACGGGAGGCAGCAGUGGGGAAUAUUGCACAAUGGGCGGAAGCCUGAUACAGCAACGCCGCGUGCGGGAUGACGGCCUUCGGGUUAUAAACCGAUUUCGCCUGUGACGAAGCGUGAGUGACGGUAAUGGGUAAAGAAGCACCGGCUAACUACGUG